AAUCAACGCUGGCGGCGUGCCUCAGACAUGCAAGUCGAACGAUUAAAGCUCUCUUCGGAGAGUGUAUAGAGUGGCGCACGGGUGAGUAACACGUAAGUAAUCUACCUUUGAGUGGGGAAUAACCCGGGGAAACCCGAGCUAAUACCGCAUAAUGCAGCGGCACCGCAAGGUGACAGUUGUUAAAGGAGCAAUCCGCUUAAAGAGGAGCUUGCGGCAGAUUAGCUAGNGGUAAGGUAAUGGCUUACCAAGGCUUCGAUCUGUAUCCGGCCUGAGAGGGCGGUCGGACACACUGACACUGAAUAACGGGUCAGACUCCUACGGGAGGCAGCAGUCGGGAAUUUGGGCAAUGGGCGGAAAGCCUGACCCAGCAACGCCGCGUGAAGGAUGAAGUAUUUCGGUANGUAAACUUACGAAAGAAUGGGAAGAAUCAAUGACGGUACCAUUUAUAAGGUCCGG
Molecule: ribosomal RNA, 456 nt
Filed under: uncultured bacterium
Lineage: Bacteria
Description: bacterial SSU rRNA
Rfam family: Bacterial small subunit ribosomal RNA
Source: RNAcentral